ACAAACUUGGUCAUUUAGAGGAAGUAAAAGUCGUAACAAGGUCUCCGUAGGUGAACCUGCGGAGGGAUCAUUACCGAGUGCUCUCGCCCUUGCGGGUAGACCUCCCACCCCACUGUCAUCGCUACCGUCGUUGCUUCGGCGGGCCGCCAGGCCCUGCCCGGCCGCUGGCUCCUGCUGGCGCGCGCCCGCCGGAGGCCCGCAAACGCUGAAACGUCCGCGUCGUCUGAGCACACUACGCAGUAGUCAAAACUUUCAACAACGGAUCUCUUGGUUCUGGCAUCGAUGAAGAACGCAGC
RNAcentral lists this unclassified non-coding RNA (296 nucleotides) under uncultured fungus. Its description in RNAcentral is "partial contains small subunit ribosomal RNA, internal transcribed spacer 1, and 5.8S ribosomal RNA". The stretch from base 1 to 73 matches the Rfam family "Eukaryotic small subunit ribosomal RNA", at positions 1759 to 1831 of the family's 1831-position model. Lineage: Eukaryota; Fungi. The record is from RNAcentral.